AGUUAAUAAGUUUUAUAGAAACGUAUACCUUGAAAGUAUAAUAAAGAGAUUAAUAUCUCUAUUAACUU
This 68-nucleotide transfer RNA is filed under the name Phraortes lianzhouensis. RNAcentral describes it as "tRNA-Ser". The record is from RNAcentral. Lineage: Eukaryota; Metazoa; Arthropoda; Insecta; Phasmatodea; Lonchodidae.